GGCGAAGAGCCGGCGAGCC
RNAcentral lists this unclassified non-coding RNA (19 nucleotides) under Haloarcula marismortui. RNAcentral's name for it is "HMKT-7 from Haloarcula marismortui (PDB 5G4V, chain E)". The record is from RNAcentral. Lineage: Archaea; Methanobacteriati; Methanobacteriota; Halobacteria; Halobacteriales; Haloarculaceae.